GAUGUGGAGCAAAACUACAAAAAAGUAAGUCUCAGUUCGGAUUGAAGGCUGAAAUUCGCCUUCAUGAAGCCGGAAUUGCUAGUAAUGGCAGGUCAGCAUACUGCCGUGAAUACGUUCCCGGGCCUCGUACACACCGCCCGUCACACCAUGAGAGUUGGGAAUACCCGAAGCCUGUGAGCCGACCGAAAGGGGGCAGCAGUCGAAGGUAGAAUCAAUGAUUGGGGUGAAGUCGUAACAAGGUAAC
RNAcentral lists this ribosomal RNA (244 nucleotides) under uncultured bacterium. RNAcentral's name for it is "partial 16S ribosomal RNA". It matches the Rfam family "Bacterial small subunit ribosomal RNA", at positions 1259 to 1500 of the family's 1533-position model. The record is from RNAcentral.